AUUGAACGCUGGCGGAAUGCUUUACACAUGCAAGUCGAACGGCAGCACGGGGGCAACCCUGGUGGCGAGUGGCGAACGGGUGAGUAAUACAUCGGAACGUGCCCGGUCGUGGGGGAUAACGUAGCGAAAGUUACGCUAAUACCGCAUACGAUCUGAGGAUGAAAGCGGGGGACCUUCGGGCCUCGCGCGAUCGGAGCGGCCGAUGUCAGAUUAGGUAGUUGGUGGGGUAAAGGCCUACCAAGCCGACGAUCUGUAGCUGGUCUGAGAGGACGACCAGCCACACUGGGACUGAGACACGGCCCAGACUCCUACGGGAGGCAGCAGUGGGGAAUUUUGGACAAUGGGCGCAAGCCUGAUCCAGCCAUUCCGCGUGCAGGACCAAGGCCUUCGGGUUGUAAACUGCUUUUGUAUGGAACGAAAAGGCUCUGGCUAAUACCUGGGGCUCAUGACGGUACCGUAAGAAUAAGCACCGGCUAACUACGUG
RNAcentral lists this ribosomal RNA (484 nucleotides) under uncultured bacterium. RNAcentral's name for it is "partial 16S ribosomal RNA". It matches the Rfam family "Bacterial small subunit ribosomal RNA", at positions 30 to 507 of the family's 1533-position model. The record is from RNAcentral.